GAUCAUUAACAGAGUUCCUGCCCUCACGGGUAGAAACCCCCACCCUUGCGUAUUGUAUACUUGUUGCUUUGGCGGGCCGCCUAUAUAGGCUCUCUUUACCGGCUUCGGCUGGGCCGCGCCCGCCAGAGGACCCUAAAUUCUUAUAUUUAAGUGAAGUCUGAGUACUAUCUAAUAGUUAAAACUUUCAACAACGGAUCUCUUGGUUCUGGCAUCGAUGAAGAACGCAGCGAAAUGCGAUAAGUAAUGUGAAUUGCAGAAUUCAGUGAAUCAUCGAAUCUUUGAACGCAUAUUGCGCCCCUUGGUAUUCCGAGGGGCAUGCCUGUUCGAGCGUCAUUAUCGACCAUCCAGCACGGCUGGGUCUUGGGCGCCGCCCCCUGGGGCGGGCCUUAAAAUUCGUGGCGGCGCCGCUAGGCCCUGAGCGUAGUAAAUACCCUCGCUACGGGAGCCUAACGGACGCUAGCCAGCAACCCCUCAUUUAAUCAGGUUGACCUCGGAUCAGGUAGA
This 504-nucleotide ribosomal RNA is filed under the name uncultured Ascomycota. Its description in RNAcentral is "eukaryotic LSU rRNA". The stretch from base 180 to 333 matches the Rfam family "5.8S ribosomal RNA". Lineage: Eukaryota; Fungi; Ascomycota. The record is from RNAcentral.